UGGAAGAGUCGCUCUACAUACACAAC
This 26-nucleotide non-coding RNA is filed under the name Mus musculus (house mouse). The record is from RNAcentral. Lineage: Eukaryota; Metazoa; Chordata; Mammalia; Rodentia; Muridae.